CGCUUUUGGUCCCAAAUCUUUGGUGUUGCUUUUUCCAAUAAACAUUGGUUACAUUUCUUUAUGCUAUUUGUACCCGUCACCGGUUUAUGGAUGAGUGCUAUUGGCGUAGUUGGCUUGGCUCUGAACUUACGUGCCCAGGAAAUCCGUGCAGCGGGAGAUCCUGAAUUUGAGACUUUAUACACCAAAAAUAUUCUUUUAAACGAGGGUAUUCGUGCGUGGAUGGCAGCUCAGGAUCAGCCUCAUGAAAAUCUUAUAUUCCCUGAGGAGGUUCUACCACGUGGAAACGCUCCGCGCCCACGACCACACCAAGCAGAACAGGGGAGGUGA
This 327-nucleotide ribosomal RNA is filed under the name Triticum aestivum (bread wheat). RNAcentral describes it as "partial small subunit ribosomal RNA". The record is from RNAcentral. Lineage: Eukaryota; Viridiplantae; Streptophyta; Magnoliopsida; Poales; Poaceae.